GACGAACGCUGGCGGCGUGCUUAACACAUGCAAGUCGAACGGAAAGGCCCUGCUUUUGUGGGGUGCUCGAGUGGCGAACGGGUGAGUAACACGUGAGUAACCUGCCCUUGACUUUGGGAUAACUUCAGGAAACUGGGGCUAAUACCGGAUAGGAGCUCCUGCUGCAUGGUGGGGGUUGGAAAGUUUCGGCGGUUGGGGAUGGACUCGCGGCUUAUCAGCUUGUUGGUGGGGUAGUGGCUUACCAAGGCUUUGACGGGUAGCCGGCCUGAGAGGGUGACCGGCCACAUUGGGACUGAGAUACGGCCCAGACUCCUACGGGAGGCAGCAGUGGGGAAUAUUGCACAAUGGGCGGAAGCCUGAUGCAGCAACGCCGCGUGCGGGAUGACGGCCUGCGGGUUGUAAACCGCUUUCGCCUGUGACGAAGCGUGAGUGACGGUAAUGGGUAAAGAAGCACCGGCUAACUACGUG
This 468-nucleotide ribosomal RNA is filed under the name uncultured bacterium. RNAcentral describes it as "partial 16S ribosomal RNA". It matches the Rfam family "Bacterial small subunit ribosomal RNA", at positions 28 to 507 of the family's 1533-position model. The record is from RNAcentral.